GAUGAACGCUGGCGGCGUGCCUAACACAUGCAAGUCGAGCGAUUCUCUUCGGAGAAGAGCGGCGGACGGGUGAGUAACGCGUGGGUAACCUGCCCCGUACACACGGAUAACAUACCGAAAGGUAUGCUAAUACGAGAUAAUAUACUUUUAUCGCAUGGUAGAAGUAUCAAAGCUCCGGCGGUACAGGAUGGACCCGCGUCUGAUUAGCUAGUUGGUAAGGUAACGGCUUACCAAGGCGACGAUCAGUAGCCGACCUGAGAGGGUGAUCGGCCACAUUGGAACUGAGACACGGUCCAAACUCCUACGGGAGGCAGCAGUGGGGAAUAUUGCACAAUGGGCGAAAGCCUGAUGCAGCAACGCCGCGUGAGCGAUGAAGGCCUCGGUCGUAAAGCUCUGU
This 397-nucleotide ribosomal RNA is filed under the name uncultured bacterium. RNAcentral's name for it is "bacterial SSU rRNA". It matches the Rfam family "Bacterial small subunit ribosomal RNA", at positions 28 to 436 of the family's 1533-position model. The record is from RNAcentral.